Cherax quadricarinatus is the source of this 8766-nucleotide non-coding RNA. Lineage: Eukaryota; Metazoa; Arthropoda; Malacostraca; Decapoda; Parastacidae. The record is from RefSeq and is a predicted model, not a curated record.
UUACCCAAACUUGAGUCCUGGAGGUGGGAAGUAGUUGGGAGGGUCAUGUGAACUAUGUUGUCAGCACACUUCUGGCAGGACAGUUAUUGAAUGAAUGAUGAUGAAACUACUUUCCUCUUAUGGAUGGUUACCCUAACUCAGUGGGAGAUGGCACGUGUUACAAAGAAUAAUGUAAUGGCAUGAAGGCCUCUCAAGGGAUGUUCCUUGUUGCUGGUGAGGGGCUUUUGAUCCAAGGAAUUGUACCUGUGCUCCCUUGGAUCACACCCAAAUACCUAUUCCUCCAGGUGCUGUAUGACUGCUAUGGGUUGAGUGCUCCCCCGUAAAUUUAAUAAUGAUGGCAUGAAGGAGGGUGCAGCUCUUAGCUCUAUUUUUUUUUUUUUUUCAUUGAUUGUGCAGACGAAAAAUAUAUAGCAUAGGGAGUUAGCAGUCAUGAAUAUAUGUUUGGGUAUGUGGAUGUUCUGUAAUUUGCAUCUACCAGAGCAUUUGAGAAAAAAUCUUUAGACAUCCAUAAUCAUGGAACUGAAAUCUGACAUUGAUUCCAAAUAAAGUCUUUUUACAAAUAUAUGUUUAGAUUAUAACUUAAAUUGAUUAUAACUUAAUUGUUAAAACAAUUAUUUGUAUUUUUUCCUAUUAGGGAUUCAAGAGGAGAAAAUACAAGGAAAAAUCUAAAUAUAUUUUACUGGGGUGUAUUUUUCCCCACAAGUGCUAUCUUAGAUCUUUCUAAACUGUCAUAUCUGAGUCCCUCUGCAAAGACAGUGAUUAUGUAUGAGUGAUGGUGGAAGUGUUGAAUGAUGAUGAAAUUUUUUUUUCUUUCUUUUUGGGUUUUUCUUUUUGGGUCACCCUGCCUUGGUGGGAAACAGCCUACGUGUUAAAAAAAAAUGCUAUCUUGCUUUACUGUAUAUGGCUGUUAAUUUUAGGAUCCUAACAUUAAUUUGAACAACCUGUUAAAAUGGAAGAAAAGUUUGAUAUGAGUGUACUGUCCAUCCUUGUACUCCAAAUGAUAUGAUUCCUAAUUUCAUGAAAGCUUCUUCCUGAGAAAGAAUUUACAGCACAAUGUCAUCUUUAUGCAAUUGAGGAAUUAAUCUUGUUGGACCAUACAUACAUUAUCUAGUCAAUCACUUGAUUGUUAUUUGAUCUUAUUGAAAAAUAAACAUUAUGCAGAAUUAUACUAGAGGAGUACAGUAUAAUACAGUGAAACAUGUAUCCAGUGUUCUGGUCGCUAAAAGUUAUCAGGUUCCUGUGUCUGGUGUCAAGGUGGCAGGAAAGGUUGGCCACAGAUCUUUGCUUUGAUUCAGUGUAUUUUGUGAUUCUGCUAAUAUUUUACUCAACAUAUUCAUUAUUUGUUAAGCUGGAUGCUGUAUUUUCAGUACAGCAUACUGUAUAUUAACUGUAAAAAGCAUUUUUCAUUCAAAUUUUGGUGCUAUUUUGUUAAGGUUUUCUGCCAUUUUACUUGUAAUUAAUUCUUCCUUGUAAUCUAUGACUUUGUCUAUCUUUGUCUUAUGUUUUAUAACAUGUUACUUGGUAUCAACAGUUGGGUUUGCAAAUCAAAGAAUUCCAGACAGUAUCAAGGCAUUAUUAGUAAGCUAGCCAGCUGGAACCAUGAAGUUGCAUCAUUUAACCCUUUCACUGUCUCCCAGGUGGAUCUAUGAAGUGCUAUCACAAAGUUCCUGAGCAUGAAUUUUUGCACACUUCCUGGGUGAAAUAUGAUGGUAGCAUAGAUCACACUGUGCAAUCGACUCCUUUGUGCGGUAGUGUGGCGAGUUUCAUUGCAGUUAGUCAUUCCAUUAAGGUUAGACUGGCAUUUUUUGGUCAUGUCAGUGCAUUGUUGCAAUUUUUCGUGUAACAGAAUGGAAUCUUUUAAAGAAAAAACAGCGUGGGUGUGUGUGAAAUUCUGUUUCAAGCUCAGUAAAAUGCCCUAGUGAAACUCACAAAGUGCUUCAUCGAGCAUUUGGCGACAAAGCAAUGGGUCAAACAGCGUUUUUAAUGGGUUUUUUAUUCAUAGCAGGACGAACAUCAAAAACAGAUACCAACAUUGAAAAGUGAGGAAGGCUAUUCACAGUAAUAGUCAUUAGGGUAUCCAGGACAGUACAGGUGCUGUGGGAAUUUCUUAUGGGUCGUGUCAAAGCAUUUUAACUGAAAAUUUGAACAAGGGGCAAUUGGCUGCAAAAUUUGCUCCAAUUGCUCACUCAAGACCAGAAAGACCAUCAUUUUCUGGCAAAAACAAUAUGGUGGUCAUCCCCCACCCUCACUAAUCACCAGAUCUAGUCCCCUGUGACUUCUUUCUCUUCCAAAAAUAAAAAUGGCACUCAGAGAGUGGCAGUUUAACAAUGUGGAGGAGAUUCAAGCAGAAUCACAAGCCGUGCUGGGCACCAUUAGGAAAAGAGUUGCAGAAAUGUUUCUAGAACUGGCAAAGAUACUGGGACCAGUGUAUAGUCUCCCAAGGGAAGUACUUCGAGGUGAUUAGGUAAGUUCGUAUGUAUAUUUUUUUUCUGUGGAAGUUUGGGAACUUUUUUAUAGCACCUUGUAUGUUAUUCAAGCCAGUGUGACUUAUGUAGAACUAUGCAUAAAUUCUAGCAGUCUCAGAUUUGGCAUGAGAGGCCUGGUAGGCCUAGGCAUAAGAAAAAAUGUCUUUAUGGUCAUUUUGCAGUGUACAAAAGAUUGGGGCUGCCACAGUGUAUUGUGGGAAUGCCAUCUUAGUACAGUAUUCCAUUGUCCAUUAUGCCAUCGAUACAAUACUCUCACUCUUUGCAUGUAUUAUUCUCCAGUGACAGCUCCAGCAACAAGGAUAUUAAUCCAAGGAUAAAUUCCAUUGGUUCAAACAUAUAGUGACUGAAAGUAACAAUUGAUGUGUCAGAAAUAAUGCUGAAAACCCUGAUGACCCUACAGUCAUCCACUUCUGGGUCAGUGCAUCCACAUGUCCACACCAUAAUUGACACCUCAUAUUCUCCAGUGAUUGGGCACAGAUGUGAGCAGUAAUGAUGGUAGUGAUGUGGAUUUUGAUUUCCUAGCAAUUGAUGAUGAUUUGCAUGUUAAGUGUCAAUUUACACAGUAAUGCAUGUAGUCUGAUAGUGUCCCUCUUGCUAUCCUUAAGGGACAUAGUAGAUCAUGAGACCCAGCUCCAGUAACUGAUAGUGAUAGUGAAGAUGAUGAUGCUUUCGUUGGCAUUGGUAGUAGACCAUGGGCAAUGCAGACAGUGCGUGCAGCAGUGGCUGACAGGACAAAGAACCUGGCAGCACCAGCACCAGCCCCUGGAGGGAGUCAUAUCCCAAUGACCCCAGGCCGUGUUGUCCAUCCAUACAGCAACCACUGCUAGCACCACCACCCCCACAGCCAGCCACAAAUAUCCAGCAACAACCACCAGGCCACAGCUGGUAUUGGCAGGAGGAUGUGCAAUUUGUGCCCAGUUCCCAUUAAUUUGACAACACAGAGAGUGAUAUCCAGGCAAAUUGUACCCUCAGGAAUGAUGCUGCUGACAUGGCUUCUUUGGGCUCCAUUUCAGUGAGCCCCUGAUGUAAACAGUAGUUAUGGAGACUAACAGAUACUACAAGUAUUCAAUGGCAAACAUGUUGGUUUCAUCAUGAUCACAUCUUCACAGGUGGAAAGACACAGCUGUGUCCGAGAUGUAUCGUUUUGCCAUGUUCAUUUUUAUGCCACGUGUAUAAGCACAAUACAUCAUAAUAGUAGACUGGCUUCCUUAUAUGUACCCUGGCAUUUUGUGAUCUCAUCCCCAUCAAAAGAGUUAUCCUACUGUUGUAUAUGCUACACAUCUCAUACAAGAUGAGGCAUGAUAGAUGUGACAUUAUACAAGAUUAGGGGUGUUUUUAUGUAUCUCUAAGAUAAGUUCAUCUAGUUCUUUUGUUCAUCCCAGAACUUUGUUAUCAACAAGUCUCUAAUCCAAUUCCAAGCCAUAUAUUACAAGCGAUAGGAAAUGCUCUGGUAUAAAACUGUUCAUUUCAUCUGGUCUGGUAUUGGAUAUUGUGUAAAUAGGAAGUAAAACAUUGGAAGAUAUCAAGAAGCUAUUGGGAAUCUCCAGUGAUGUGGUGAGUAAAAUGAUGUAACCAUAUCUUGAGAAGGGCCAUACAUUAUACACUCAUAACUGAUACACAGGCCCCUUAUUCAGUGAUUUUCUGCUGAUGAAUAUGAGAGAUGUGUGGUACAGUGUGUGGAAUACAAAAACAUAUGCCUGAGUUCAGUGCAGGCAUUGAUGGUGAAGUGCAUUGUUUCAUGCCAGUGACAUGGCAUUUCGAUGACAUGAGAAACGUGAUGUGACAUUGUUGAAAUCCAUCCACGAGCACGAAAUGAAAGAUAGAGGAAAGGUGAAACCAGUGAACCAAUGAGACCAACUGCUGUUAUGGAUUACAUGAAUACCUGCAUUUGGUGGACAAACGUGAUGUGCAGAUUGGGUUUGUUGGUUAUGUCCAGAAUUAUGAGUGGUACAUGAAACUUUUCUUUCAUCUUAACAUUGCAGUGCUGAAUGCAUACAGUAUGUACCAGAUAAAGACUGGGAAAUGCUGCCAUAUGCCCACUUCUGUUUGCUUGUCAUCAGACAAAUAAUACAGAAAUACAAAAUCACAAUGCAUGUGACCUCACUGAUCACUAAUUACUCUCUCAUUUGCAGUAUGGUGAUCACUUUCUAACUAAACUUCCUGCUACAGACAAGAAGACGUGGACUCAAAAGAGAUGUUAUGUCUGUGAACACACACUUAUCUAGGUGCCCAGCAAAGCACAGGGAUACACAUUUCGUGUAGAGAAUGUCAACCACCACUGAAUAUGGAGCCAUGAUUUAGGUGCUUCCAGACUGGAAAAGUAAUAGGAACAUGACCAGUGCCUGUAUAUAUGUAGAGAAGAAGCAGAAACAAACAGGUGGAAGGAUGUGAUGGCUGGGGAUUUAGGGGAAUGGGGAAAUGCUGAAGAGAAGAAUGAUUCUGGCAAGAGUGAACUGGCUAAGUUAGUUAAUAUUGAUGGAGUUCAAAUGCUUUAAUGAUCUCAUUUUUAUCUCUUUCAAAUAAUAUAAUGGAUUUUUAAGUCACUGUAUAAUGCUUAAUGCAUCAUUGUGGAAUUUAAUGUGAAUUCUUGAUUUUGGAAUUAUAUUGAAAAUUUGAUGAAAAGAUCAGUGUAGAUUAACUAUUUGCUUUAAACUAGUAAGAUAAAAAUUAUUAUUUCAUACAUGGAAAAUCUAGUAAUGACACUUCUCAAAGAAAAUGGCUUUGUAAAAUUUUGUAGAUUUAAAAGUUUGAGGUUAUUGUUAUUAAUUUUUGUGGAAAACUUUUAUUAGUUACUUUCCAAUCAUGAAUGAUGUGUAUUUAGAACUAUUGUACUGGCUUUGACCAAAAAUUACUUUAUGAAUUAAUAUAAAUACUGCUUAUAUCUUUAUUAUUAGGCAUUUUAUAUUGUUCCUAGGAAUUUUACUACUGUACAACCAAUUUAUGUGAUACUGUAGGAUGAUGAAAUGAUAUCAGAACAAACCAGUUAGUCUAUUAAAGCUGUGUAGGAUUUUAGUUGUUGAAUUUAACAAAAAAAAAAAAAUUAGUACAUAUUGUACUUCAUGCCUUUUAUGGCAUGAAGUCUCUAUUCUUACUGAAUUUCAGAAAUUACAGUGCUUGUAUGUGUAUGUAUAUACUGUUUGAACUUGCUGUUCAUGUUCUUUGUAAAUACAGUGGUCCCUCGUUUUUCGUAAUUAAUCCAUUCCAAAGAGGGUGACUAUUAUCGAAAUUGACAAUUUGCGAAACCAUUUUCCCCAUAAGAAAUAAUAUAAAUACAAUUAAUGCGUUCCAGACACCCAGAAGUAUUAAAACAAAAUAAUUUUUUACAUGAAAUAUAGAUGUAGAUACACAGAAAACAAUGAGACAUGAAGAACGAAACAUUAACAGCAUAACACUUACAUUUAUUGGUGAUUCUUCUUAGUGUAUGGAAGACUGGAGGAGGGGAGAGGUUGGAUUAAUUACUGUUUGAAAGGAGAAUCCCCAUCCAUAAAGAUUUCAGGUAUGAAGUCCUUUUCUGGGGUUACUUCCCUUCUUUGUUUUUUACUGUCGCUAGGACCAGCUUGAGAACCACUACACACCUGUGGCACUAAAUACUUGGCCAGAGAGCUCUGUUUCUGGCAUCUCUAAAAUUUCCCUAAAAUGGGUCAAGACUUUGUCAUUGUAAAUGUUGCCAACACGGUUUGCAACAGCUUUGUCAGGGUGAUGUUUCUCCACAAAUCUUUCCUCCUGAGUAAUGUAGGUCGUCCUUGGCAUUUUCUUCCAAAAGAGUCCUGUUUCAUCACAAUUGAACACUUGUGGUUUGAAUUGUUUAGUCUUUACGUACAGUGGACCCCCGCAUAACGAUUACCUCUGAAUGCGACCAAUUAUGUAAGUGUAUUUAUGUAAGUGCAUUUGUACGUGUAUGUUUGGGGGUCUGAAAUGGACUAAUCUACUUCACAAUAUUUCUUAUGGGAACAAAUUCGGUCAGUACUGGCACCUGAACAUACUUCUGGAGUGAAAAAACAUCGUUAACCGGGGGUCCACUGUACUCCUUGAAUUCACUUAGAAUUUUUCAGCUACAUUUUUGUCUGAACUGGCAGCCUCACCAUGCCUUAUCACACUGUGUAUGCCACUACAUUUCUUAAAUCUCUCAAACCAGCCUUUGCUGGCCUUAAAAUCACAAAUAUCAGUACUCGUUGCAGGCAAUUUCUUUACGAGAUCGUCAUGCAACUGCCUUGCUUUUCACAAAUAAUCGACUGCAUGAGACCAUCUCCUGUUAAUUGUUUCUCGGUGAUCCACACCAACAAUAACUUUUCAACAUUUUUGAGUACUUGCGAUCUCAUUUUUGUGAGCAUAUUCAUAUAGUCGGACUUGAGUCCUGGAAAUGGGAAGUACAAUGCCUGCACUUUAAAGGAGGGGUUUGGGAUAUUGGCAGUUUGGAGGGAUAUGUUGUGUAUCUUUAUAUGUGUAUGCUUCUAAACUGUUGUAUUCUGAGCACCUCUGCAAAAACAGUGAUAAUGUGCGAGUGUUGUGAAAGUGUUGAAUGAUGAUGAAAGUAUUUUCUUUUUGGGGCUUUUCUUUCUUUUUUGGGUCACCCUGCCUCGGUGGGAAACGGCCGACUUGUUGAAAAAAAAAAAAAAUUACCCCCUUUGCAACAGCAACUUCUUGAUUUCUUUUUUCUUGCCCACGAUGGAAGCAAUGGUUAUAUGGGGUUUCUUAAUAUAUCCUGGCCAGCUCUGCCACACGUACGCCACUUUCGUGUUGUUCAUUGAUGUUUUUCUUGAAUUCUAUCAUAUUUCUCACCUGGAGCCAUGGUGGCUUAUUUAGCAGUUGCAAGCACUAAAAUGAAUGGAUUAUGAAAUGUAUCGUAUAAUCUUGUGAGGUGAUGGUCACUUGCUGAUAAACAAUAGCACACUGGCUGGGAAUGGAGUGAGACCGCUCGGGGCCGUGCGUACACAUUCGGGAUGAACGACUAUUUUCGAGUCAAACGAUGAUAUGUGAGUCAAUGUUUUGACGAAAAAGAGUUAUGAUUUUCGAAAAUUAUGACUUUCGAUGCUUAUAAAAAACGAGGGACCACUGUACAUAUAAAGAGCAUUAUACAGUUUAUUGAAUAAAAAUAGGAGGUAAUAAACAAAGUACAGACACUAAAUAUAAUACUCCAGCAUUUUUCCUUAAUUCAGAAGUGAUUCUGGCAUUUUUUAAUUAAUCUUUGUUAGAAGGUCUAUUAGUAGUGCUCUUUUUUUUUUUCUUCUUUUUUUUUUUUUUUUUUUUAUCGUUGAAGCAACCAUGCUUGUUUUGCUUUUAGUAAUAGGACUAUGAAAAAUAUUUACUUGGUAUACAAGUAGUAAAACAAGUCAGGCAGAAACUUGGACAGAGGGAAAUGUAUACAAGAAUGAAUUAAAAUAACUCAAGAGAACUGGAAAAUAACAAGGGUUAAAGUUGUUAAUGCAUUAGUGUGGGUAAAUCAGCUGACAUGGAUCUUUGUCAUAUGAUGACCUGUUGGGUGAUACCAUAGUCCUAUGGUAGGGACAACACAAGAAGCAGCUGUUGAUGUAGGGUUCUGUGGACUGAGGUGUCUACUGACACACACAAAUGUGGUAGCUUAGCUAUUGGCCUAUGGUGGGCCACGGCAGUGACAGCUGGCUCAGUGGUCUGUGGCUAAAGUGAGUGGAGAGUAUUUGUUAUUAAAAUGUGGCCAAUGAGAGCAAUACAUGUUUAUUAGAAAGAAGAUUCUUGAAAAUGUAUUCAUGAAUAAUCAAGGCAAAAACACUAUUCUGUAAUUCUUGUUAUUGCAGUAAAAUAUUUAAGAAGAUUCUGUCUGAAAAUAGUUAUAGUUCGGUUUUUAUUUGUAAAUAUUGUACAAAUGACUGUAUGUAGUAUAUAAAUGGUUAAAGCCAAAUUAAAAAAAAUCACAUGCUGUACCAUCUAACAUCAUUCAGAAGUCAAGCAAAAUGCUCAAGACAAAUAGGUCGCUUGUACUUUUCAUCUCUACCAGAAAUGGUAGAACUUUGUUAAAUUGCUUCUACUUACUACCAGUUGUAUGAAUAAUAUUUUUCCAAUCCAGUAUAAUAAUUUCCUUUCUAAAUUUAACAUAUGUUGAUUUCAACAGUUUGUUCAUUCAUUUAAUAUCAUCAUUGAAAAUAUAAAGAUGUAAAGGAAUGCAUACUUGCAUACAAAAUAUAAUAACUUGUGCUUAAAUCCCAUUCUUUGUGUUUUUUGAAUACUGCCCUCCUCUUCAGUCCCUUUGACUUACUUUUUCCAGGCACAUUUUUACUAUAGAAAUAAAUAAUAAGGCUUGAUAAUA